AGAAUUAGUUUUUCUCAUAAUGAAAUCUGCAGUGGAAGAACAACUUAACCUAAUAACAUCAGGUUCUAUUACUACAGAAUCAAGUAACGCUCGCGUAAACGUAGUAUAAGUUAGAUUACCGGUUUCUUACAAAAUAUGUGAUUUCUGCCCAGUGCUCUGAAUGUUAUGUGAUUUUUGCCCAGUGCUAUGAAUGUCAUCUAGUCAUAUACAUAUCAAGAAUUUUCGAUGGGCUUCUUCAGAAGAUAGGAUACGAAGAAAAUCCUAUAACGGCAGGGAGCUGAUGUCGAGGAGAUUUUCCUGUUUACGCGAAGAAAUUAUCACGUGAUAGAACACAAUAAAGCUCACUUUCAAAAGUCCGUCACCUUUGGAUCUUUGCUGUGGAACUCAUUGCCGUCUAUGCAUUGGAUAUCUACUAUUGGAAAGAGACACUCGCAUUCUGCCUGUAUAUACGAUAACUCCAUGUACGUCUGGUGGCUGCACAGCUACAUGGACGACGUUCAAUGAUUUAUGGCAGCUGGAUUUGGGCACGAGGACAUGGGUCAGGCAGAUCACCAUGGGCAACUAUCCAUCGCCUAAAAAGCUUGUGCUACUAUGCUUUAUUAUAAGAAAAGUUUGAUUUUGUUCGGAGGCUGGUCUCAUCCGUUGCAUUAGCAUAAAUAGAUGGCACUGAGCGUUCUCCAGGUCACAUUCGCAAAAUGCACACGCUUCAUCACAAGCGUCCAGUAUUCCAAAAACAAUAUCAUUUUACAGUGAUAAUACUCUGAGCAUGGCCGCAUUUCGCGAUCAACCUCUGCGUGGUAAUUUGAACACGAAAUACGAAUAGACAACGUCAAUUAAAAUCACUAAGGAGGAUGGAAGAGAAAAUUUGAAAUAAGAAGACACAGCUGACGAAAGUAUCCAAAAAAGCUGAGAACACAUUGUCGAUAUUUGUAUUGGAUAUUACCAAUGUUCUUUCGGAUGACUGCAACUCUUUGUGGAUUCCCUUAAAGCAAAACGAUCAUUCGGAGCCUGAUGAGAGAAUUCUGUAUUCUCUUGUAGUGAGAAGGGGAGAACUGAUAGUUUUUGGAGGUAUUCGUAAAGAACAUACAACAUUAGGCCCCACCGAAGUAGACGAUUCUGUAGUGUAUAAUGAUCUCCAUUUUAUAAAUCCACCUCGAUAUGUUAUUUAAUAUUGAAAAGGAAUUUAAAAAAUAGUAUAU
Temnothorax curvispinosus is the source of this 1199-nucleotide long non-coding RNA. RefSeq lists it as uncharacterized. The record is from RefSeq and is a predicted model, not a curated record. NCBI's taxonomy places the organism in Eukaryota, Metazoa, Arthropoda, Insecta, Hymenoptera, Formicidae. The transcript has 3 exons.